This 286-nucleotide small nuclear RNA is filed under the name Erinaceus europaeus (western European hedgehog). RNAcentral describes it as "7SK RNA". It matches the Rfam family "7SK RNA". From Rfam's summary of the family: 7SK was discovered as an abundant small nuclear RNA in the mid-70s but a possible function has only recently been suggested. Lineage: Eukaryota; Metazoa; Chordata; Mammalia; Eulipotyphla; Erinaceidae. The record is from Rfam by way of RNAcentral.
GGAUGUGAGGCCAAUCUGGCUAUGACAUCUGCCACCCCAAGGUUGAUCUGACUGUCCUCUUAUCUCACUACUCUAUGUUUGUCCCUCUUGAAACUGUGCACUCAGCCAAAAGGGAUGACGUUCCCAGAGUGGAUAGAGAGAGACCAAGGGGAUGGAAAUAAGCAGUGCACCCCUGCUAGAACCCUCAAAUAAGCUCUCAAGAUCCAAGCGAGCUAGUUUGAUGGUCCUGUUUCUUACUCUUAAUACUUUAAAAAUGUGAUUUAUCCACUUGACAAAGUUGCUAUUU